Molecule: unclassified non-coding RNA, 387 nt
Filed under: uncultured fungus
Lineage: Eukaryota; Fungi
Description: sequence contains ITS1
Rfam family: 5.8S ribosomal RNA (bases 1-105)
Source: RNAcentral
GAAUUGCGAAAAGUAAUGUGAAUUGCAGAAUUCCGUGAAUCAUCGAAUCUUUGAACGCAUAUUGCGCUCUCUGGCCCUCCAGAGAGCAUGCCUGUUUGAGUAUCAGUAACAACCUCACAUCCCUUCAAGGGGGUAUGGAAAUGAGCGAUCCAGUAUGGCGACGCAGUCGUUCUACCGCUGGUCGUUUGAAAUGUAGCGUGUGCUGUGUUUGUCACUGCUCUCUGCAAAGGCGUACCAGUUCUCCUCGGAGAUCCACUUGCGCCGGUGUUUUGCUGUAGAGCCUUUGUGCUGACUGACGGCCGCGUAAAACCUUUCCAAGGCGCUGCGCAGUAUGCAAAGCAACUUGAUCUUGAUCUCAAAUCAGGCAAGACUACCCGCUGAAUUUAA